Molecule: long non-coding RNA, 559 nt
Organism: Ipomoea triloba (trilobed morning glory)
Lineage: Eukaryota; Viridiplantae; Streptophyta; Magnoliopsida; Solanales; Convolvulaceae
Exons: 2
Source: RefSeq, a predicted model, not a curated record
UCUGUAAUUUUUUGUUGCGCGAAAUUUUUAUUUUUACCACCAUUCUCUAUCCUACUAUAUAUAUUAUCAUUUUCUUUAAAAUUCUAAGUUUUGACUACGGUUUGAGAAGACAAAGAGAGUGAAGAUAGUGAUUCUUUCACUUUUCAAAGCUGAAAGGAGGGAUCCUUACACCUAGAGUAGAAUCACCCCAAGAUUGAAAAGAGAAAAUUGAUUGAGAGCUUCAAGUCACACUGAAAGGCAAAGGAAAAGUAUUUGUUUGUCGUAGUUUGCUACAACUAACUGGCAACAUAUGUGAUAGUGUAAAUGUAAACGGGGUCUACGAAUACGCUACAAGUACUCGUGUUUUGACUGGUGAGGAAUGUCGCUUGGUUGGUCAGUCGGUCGGUCUACCAGUCGAUGACUGAGCGAUCCGAAACUAUAUUGCUCUACGGGUGACGAACAGUAAUAAAGAGUAAACAAGAGAGGCAAUGAUCAAAUCGCAAGUGUAUUAGUGUAUUAUAUUGAACCAUCUCUUGUGACGUGGGAAUUUCUCAUGAAUGAAUUAGUACCUAGUGCUUAA